CUACUCUUCAUAACAAACUCCUCCUGGCACUGAGCGGCCCACUGCCAGACGGUUACAAAUGUCGCUAUCAGUCUGUUGCACCCUCCGCCUAUAAAAGGGAGACCCCAGAUACGUUAUUUUUUAAGCUCUAAUUUCUAUCUCAAAACUCUGCUAAAAUUUUUGUUCGAGCACUCCAUUCUUGUUGAGGUAGAGAACUGACUUGAGCAUCGGAGAGUCUUGCUGGAGCACCCCCAACUCCGGUUUAGACUUCCUUUG
Molecule: long non-coding RNA, 255 nt
Filed under: Elaeis guineensis (African oil palm)
Lineage: Eukaryota; Viridiplantae; Streptophyta; Magnoliopsida; Arecales; Arecaceae
Description: long non-coding RNA (EGUI_LNC068493)
Source: RNAcentral